This 21172-nucleotide long non-coding RNA is filed under the name Citrus sinensis (sweet orange). RNAcentral's name for it is "long non-coding RNA (CSIN_LNC001491)". Lineage: Eukaryota; Viridiplantae; Streptophyta; Magnoliopsida; Sapindales; Rutaceae. The record is from RNAcentral.
UUUUCAUAUAUAUUGUUCUCAAACAACUAUGAAACUGUUAGCUUUUAAUAUUGUUCGCUGGAGUUAGCGAUCAGCGUUUGCCUGAUCUGUGGUUCUGUGUUUCGUAUGGCCAUUCAUAAUGUUUAGGCCAUUGUUAUUGCGUGAGUUGAGAUCAUUUUAUUUGGAUAAGAGAUAUUAGGAAAUUAAUAUUUUUGUUAUUGUUAUAUUUGCAGAGGAGGAGAAUGUCUCACAUGAAGUAGCAUAUUAUUUGCAACAAACUCUUCAGUAUUUCUUUGCAAAUAUUUUGGUUUCAAACAAUUAAUUCGUUGAUGUAAUUUUUUUUCCUUUUCAGUAGUGUUAUAUUUGGAUUGUGCAAUGUUUUGUAUCAAAUUCGACUACAAUCUUUGAGUUCUUACAGGAAUUUAUUAUCCAUGAUCUUGUAAUAUUAGGUGAAGCAUGUAUUUUUGUCGUUGAAAAUUCUUAUCUUAACAAUAUUUGCUUCUUUUCACCUUUAGAGCUUCACAAGAAGGAGACCUGUAUUUUUUAAUUUUUAAAAAAUUAAAAAUUAAUUUUAGUAUUUGAUAAUUUUUUUUGUAAAUCACUUUGGGAAAACUCAUCUUAUUCUAUAUUUGAUUUUGAAAAACACGAAUAGAGUAGUUUUUGAGAAUCUAAUUUUAAAAAUUAAUUUUAUAUUUGAUAAAAUUUUGUAUACAUUAUUACAUUCUUAUAUAUAUUACAAAAAUCUAAAAUUUUCUUUAUUAAUUAAGAAAUAAAAUGACAAUUAUUGAUUACUAAAAAAUGACAUCUCCUUUAGAGCUUCACAAGAAGGAGACCUGUGAGGCUGUUACCAUUAUUGAAGCCCCUCCAAUGGUGGUGGUUGGAGUUGUGGGAUAUGUGAAGACACCUCGUGGUCGUGGUCUUCGCUCUUUGAGCACUGAGCGAGCUUGUUUUUAAGUUAUAGAGGCAUAGAGCGAGUGAAUGGAUAAGAUCCGUCUGAUGGAUGCCACGAGGGAUAAUAUCUGCGGCGGGCGGUUAGUUGCGAGUCUUGAGACCUUAACGGUUUUGUACGUGACUUGUUCAUCUUCCGACUGUCACCGUCUGAUUUAAUAAUAAAGUUAAUUAGGGUCCGUUUGAAAUUAUUUUUAGAGAGAUUUAAAAAUAAUUUUAAAAAAUUUAAAUUUAAUUUUAACAUUUAAUUAUUUUUUAUAAAUUACUUUUGAAAAACUCGUCUUAAAUUAUUCUAAAUUAUUCUAUGAUAGAUUUUAAAAAACAUGAAUAGAGUAGUUUUUGAAAAUUUAAUUUUAAAAAUUAGUUUUAUAUCUGAUAAAAUUUUGUAUACAUCAUUACAUCCUCAUAUAUAUUACAAAAAUCUAAAAUUUUCUUUAUUAAUUAAGAAAUAAAAUGACUAACUUUAAAUAAAUUGUUAUUACCAUCAAUGAUAUUGAAAUAAUAAAAUUAAAUUAAAAUUAAUAAUAUAAAAUAUUUAUUUUAAUUACCUAUUAUUAUAUAUACACAAUAAAAAAAUAUUAUAUAUAUAUGUUUAUAAAUGUAUAAAUAAAUUUCAAUCAAUAUUAUUUCAAAUUCGUAGUUCAAUAGUAAGAUUCACUAAAUAUAUAUGAAUAUUUCUAAAACAAUUGUUUUAAAAUUCACAGUAUUUUUAAAAAUAAAUUUUAUCAAAGGUUUAAUUAAUUAUAUUUAUAAUUGAUUAUUUUUAUAGUACAGUUAACCACCGUAAUUAUUUUUAAAGCUACAUAAUUAUUAAAUUGGCCCUUAAUUAAAUAAAUACAUUAUAAUUCAUUUUAUUAGGAGCUAAAACUUAAUUUUAAGCUGUUAGUAUAAAAUAACUUCCAAUGAACCAAAAUAUGUGUUCCAAAUUAGGAGCUAAAACUUUCCAUUUUAAGCUAAACAAAAACCGGCCUAAAAGCCCGCCUUGGCCUUAGCCUAAACCCAAUUUGGGUUGCAAAACCCAGGCUUUGGUCUGGCCCAAGUGGUAUGGACCCAACAUUUUCGUGCAUUUCGUGAUUUUAUCCCUUAAAUAAUAUUUUUCAAAACUUCUACCAACAGCUUAUCAAUUGUGAUAUUCUAAACCCUGAUAUUCCCUAAUCUGAAUUUAAAACUUAAAGCUCUGUUUGUUGAAAUUCAGAAGAAUUCCACAAUAAAAAAUAACAGAAGCUGAAUUUAAAGCUUAUCAAUUGUAAUUUAUCUUUGAUUGAUAAAUUAAAGAUGAAGCUGUCAUACCUCGUUGUUUAAUUAAUUAGUGUUUAUGAAGUAGAAGUACCAAUUAAUUAAAAAUAUUUAAAUAUGAUCAUAUAACAUUUGUAGUCUUUUGUUGAUUCCAAAAAAAUUAUCCAGGGAUAACUGCAUGACGUGGCAAAGGCUGAAGACUAAAGCUGAGGCCGUGUUUAAUAUUAUGGUUAAGCAUCUGUAGUUUAAAAGAGUACACACUUUAGUGUUUACCUGUAAUAUUUUUACUAUUCCGUAAAAUUAUUAUUUGAAAAACUAUAUUUAUCACACACUAUGAACUCUUUUCUUCUUUUUUUUUUUUGUUUAUCACACACUAUGAACUCUUUUCUUCCACACACUAUGAACUCUUUUCUUCUUUUUUUUUUUUGUCGUAACUACAAUUUUUUUUUUCAUAGCAAUGAGUUUUGGGUGUUCAAAAUUUCAAACAACUACUAUAUUGAAUUUUAAUUUAACAAUAAAAAUGGUGAAGCCCACAAAUAUUAUUAGAGAAUUCAGAAGGGAGAACAAGAUAUUUUGAUUAAUAUUUUUGAUUAAAAAAAUAGUGGUCUAUGUUGACGAACCCUACAAAUUAAAUUUAAAUUUAAAUAAUGGUGAAUACUACGAUGUAUUAUCUAUAAAGGUUGUUGUUAAUUAGUUACCCCAUUGCAAUCAAUAUACCACAAAUUGAACAUGGCUUUGCUCAUCAUAUUCCUUGUGUCACUCCCAGUAAUCAUUUACUUUCUACAUCUCCAAAGGAAACGCAUAAACAAAGCCAAAACGACAAGCGGUUUAUUACCACCAGGACCUCGAGGUCUUCUCUUAAUCGGAAACCUACACCAGCUUGAAAGCACAAACCUUCAUUACCAACUCUGGAAUCUAUCCAAAAAAUAUGGCCCACUGAUGUCACUGCGCCUUGGCCUCGUGCAGACCGUAGUAGUUUCUUCAGUGAAAAUGGCUAAAGAAGCUCUGAAAACCCAUGAUGUUGAAUUUAGCGGCAGGCCGGCGUUGGUUGGCCAGCAAAAAUUAACCUACAAUGGGUUAGAUGUUGCCUUUGCCCCGUACAACGACUAUUGGAAAGAGAUGAGGAAAAUAUGUGUCACUCAUCUUUUUAAUGCCAGUAGAGUCCACCAUUUUCGUGCCGUGAGAGAAGAUGAGGUGGCACGUAUGAUCGAGAAAAUUUCAUCAUUAUCAUCAUCACCAGCAACGGCGGUGAUUAAUAUAAGUGAGUGUUUAAUGUCACUUACAAAUUCGGUCAUAUGUAUGGUUGCGUUUGGGAAGAAGUUUGAGAACAAAGCUGGCGAAAGAAGCAAGUUCCACUCGUUACUUGACGAGACUAGGGUUGUGUUGGGAGCCUUCUAUUUCAAAGAUUUUUUUCCUUUCUUGGGUGGUUUUUUUGAUAAGCUCUCGGGAAUCACUCGUCGUCUCGAAAACAACUUCAAAGAAUUUGAUGCAUUUUACCAACAACUCAUCGAGGAGCAUGCAGAUCCAAACAGACCAAAAGACCAAAUACGUGGGGAUAUAAUUGAUGUUUUACUUCAAGUUCAGAAAGAUCGUGCUGAGGAUGAAGUUCAUGGAUUCUCUCGGGAUAACAUCAAAGCUGUGCUCAUGGUAAACUUAUACCUAAUAUUACUGUCGUAAAUUUUUUUAACUGUUAAAUGGGACUUUUUAAGGUUUAAAUAUUAUUCUUGUGGGGAUGUAUAUUAAAAUCAAAACAAAUCAAAUCUGCCAGUGAACAGUGUAUUUAAUAAGAACAAAUAUGUUUAUAUUUGGGACCAAAAGAUCAUUAGCCGGCAUGCGCACUAUUAUUAUUUAUUGAAUGAAAGUUUUUCGUUGCGUUCAGAACGUAUUUGUCGGUGCCACGGACACGAGUGCAGCUACAAUGACAUGGGCAAUGACUAACGUAAUGAAGAAUCCAAGAGUAAUGGAGAAAGCACAGAAGGAAGUGAGGGAUUUGAUCGGAAAUAAAGGGUUUGUAGAUGAAGAUGAUUUGCAAAAACUGCCAUAUAUCAAAGCCAUACUAAAAGAGACAUUCAGGUUGAAUCCGCCGGGUCCAAUAAUACCCAGAGAAACAACCAAGAGUUGCAUGAUAGAUGGAUACGAGAUACCAGCUAAGACACUUGUUUAUUUGAAUGGAUGGGCAAUAUCUAGAGAUCCCGAAGUUUGGGAGAGACCAGAUGAAUUUGAUCCUGACAGAUUCAUCAUUGGCGAUAAGUCCUAUAUUGAAUUGACAGGACAAAAUAAUUAUGAGCUUAUACCAUUUGGUGGUGGCAGAAGAUUUUGUCCCGGGACUCAUAUGGGGAUUGCAACAUUGGAGCUUGCAAUUGCUAAUCUUCUUUACAAAUUUGAUUGGGAAAUGCCUGCUGGGAUGAAGAUUCAAGACUUGGAUUUUGACAUCGCCCCUGGUAUCGUUAUGCACAAGAAGAAUCCUCUCUGUCUUGUAGCUACCAAAUAUAUGUGAUUUACAAGUACUUGUGCUAUGCCUAAAUAAAAUAAUAAAAAUAAAAAAUCGAAUGCGUAUGAAUAAGAAAUUGUACUUGCUUAUAAAGAAUUUAUUUAUGCAAAUUCGUCUGUCCAGAAUAAUUGAUGUAUCCUCUGUCUAACAAGUUUUGCAUGUCCCUUUUUUUUUUUCUUUACCAAAAAAUUUUUAAAAUAUUUUUUGUAAACGUACCUAUCCAUCAUGUUGUGGACCAAGAUCUCCCUUUCAUUUUAAUAAGUACAUCAUUUCUCUCUCCGUAUUUUCAAAACCUAUCAAAGCUCUCUUGCUGUUAAAAUAAAAUAAAAUGUUAUCUUUGAAGUUUGUCUUUUUUUUUUUUCAAUGAUCAAUGAUGAAUUUUACAUCAAGGAUAAAAAAGUAGAAGACGCGACAAUAAAAAACGACAAUUUACAGCUUUUUUAACGUCAAUGAACUGGGAGUUUGAGUAUGUACAGGAGUUUCUAACAAUUUUCCCACGCGUAGUUAGUGUUUCUAUGAAGCUGUUAAUUAUCAAGUCAGUCAGAUAAAAACUACAUGUUUGAUUAUAUAAUCAAAUAUUUUGGGGUUUGAUUACCCUUUUUUUUUUUUUUCCUUGUGUGUAAGCAUUUGGGUCUUACUAUGAGGCUUAAGCAACACGAGGUUUCUCAUACAAAUAAGUUUCCUUAGUGGCUGCGAUUUGGUUUAAUUUGUAGAUUGCUUGAUGCGAGAUUAAAGAAACGAACAUACAAAGUUUCCUCAUUGCACUUCAGAUCUACCGUUGCGUUAGAUUUCAUCCGCAAAUAAUUAAAUGAUCAAUUAAUUUUUUUUUUUUUAAGGAUAAGAGAAGAACAAUAUUCUUAAACUAAACAUUUCGUAUAAGAAAUUUAAUGUGUGCGCCAUUUUAUAAUUAAGGAUGGUAUAAGAACGAUGAUCAUGUUAUAUUGGUGGAGAAUAAUAAUUAUCGAAAUGACUUUACUUAUCUACUUUAGCAGGAGAAAUUAAAUCAGGUAAAUAUUAAUUUAGUUUUUAUAUUUUAAUUUAAAUGCACGCUUAAUCUUUAUAUAUUUAAAAACACCUCAAGAGUCAAGAUACCUCUGCUGUUAAAUAUAUUAUAUUCCUACACAUAUUUUUCUUUUCUUUUGCAAUAAUACUUUUGCAACAAUAUUCUUGCCUUAUUGAGGAUAUUAAUGGAAAGAAAAAAAAAUGUUGACUUAUUAAAUUAGCCUCAAAAGUAACAUAAAAAUUUCCACAAAUUUUUAUGUUAUUAUUUGACUUGUAGGACUAAUUUGGUAAAUUAAUUUUUUAUAAAAUAACAAUAAAUGAAAUCUUUGCAAGGAUAUUAAGCAUGCUUUAACUUGCAUUAAUUUAUUUAUAAAUGAAUUAUUAGCAAGAUUAUUGCACCGGUACCCAAAAAAAACUAGUUCUUUCAUACUGAUUUUUUUUUUUUGUUAAUAUUCGAACAAAUAAUUAUUAUUAAUUUACUAAUUACAUUUUUAUAAGUAAAUUAAUUAAUGUCAAGAAUAUUAUUGUAAAAGUAAACAAAAAGUAAGGUAAGAAUGUAAAAUAUUUAACUAUAAAGGUGUUUUCAGGUAUUUUUAGAGUGAGGUUAUUUGAACCUAUUAAACUAUUUAUUAAACUCAUUUACGAAAUAAACUCACUAUUGAAAUUAAAAUUUUUAAUUUUUACUCUCUAAACUUACCUAAGUACCUAAUAAAGCCUUACUAAAUAAAAUUAUUAAUAAAUCAAAUUUAAUUAAACCCACUGUUUUGGUCUCUUCCUCUGUCCUUGUUCUUCUUUGUUUUGUAUUUUGUAUUCUUUAUUUAUCAGUCAUCAAUGGCUCAAAAGAGGGAGUAAUGAUAUUAGCCAUUGUCAAUUUGGUAUUUGCAACUAUAAUGGUCUUGAAAGUACUGUAAAUCUAUUGUAAUAUGAAGACUUGAUAAAUUAACAAUCAAGCAAGGCUUCAUAUUAACCAUACAAGGAAUUACAUAGCCUGAACAUAGAUGCUUAUUGCUCGCAUCACAACAAAAGCGAAAGAAGAAAUUCACAUCAAAUUAUGGAUCCUAAAUAAUCGAAUAAGAUUAAUCGUUUAACUUGGUUUUAAUCCUUUAUUGUUUUGGCAACCCCUAUGAAUUUAAGAGUAGUAUUUAUGAAUCUAUAAUUAUAACUUCAUUUUUUCCUAGUUAUUUUUUCUGUCCUUAAACAUAAUUGUGUUAAUGGAUAUUUUGGUAAUAAAAGCUUUUAUAAAAUAUUGACUUUAUAGAUUAUUUUGAUGGGUUUAAAUAGCCAUACUCGUAUUUUUGAAAUAUAAGUACUUAACAGACAUUUAAAUUAAAAUAUAAAAACUAAACAAAUAUUUAUCCAUUAAAUUAAAAAUUGUUCCAAAAUUUCACAUCUUGAGCGAAAAAUACCUCAUUAUUUUAUUCUCGUUAAAGUCAAUUCCACGAGAAUAUGGUUUUAGGAGAAACAUCAUAUGCACCACAUUAAUCAUACAAAAAAUUCAAUAACAUUUUGUCAUGUUUGUAUUAAAGAAAAAGAAAAUAUCAAAUUAAUGAACAGUUUUAUGUAUAUCAAAUAAAGUAUUGAUUGAUUGGAUUAUCACCAAAUCUAUAAAAGAUUUCCUAAGAAAGUCUAUGAAAGAAUUAAUACUAAAAAAAUUAAUUAGAUGCCGACAAAGGAGGAUCUGCAAGUCAUCUUAAUACUACACCUAAUACAAUUUUUUUCCAAUACUUAUGAUAAGAUAUUUGUGAGACCUUUAUUAGCUUUUAUCGAUCAACAUGUAUGAUAAGUAUUUCUGGUACCAUUAAUAAAUUCGCGAGGAAGAAAGAAAACAACAUUAAGGGUAAUUUUAGGAAUUUUCUCUUAGAAGAAUUAAACCGACUGUUAGAUUUGAAGGAGAUUCGAAAGUGAUUGAUUUAGAGAAACAUCAAAAGUAGCUUAUUAUUAUGCAACAAUUCUAUAGCAUCUUUGUCAGGAGUGCGUUUGUAUUGAAAAAUUGUCAAAGAAUUGGACAGUUAAUUAGAUUAAAUAAAGUACAGAUAUCAUAGUUUCAAUUAUUAAUUGUAUUACCACAUAUGUCUAAAGGGAAAUUUACAAAAUGAGCCAUAAAACUUUUACGUUUUUCAACUUUAACUGCCAAACACCCUAUGUUUGGACUACAUUACCCUCAUCACUUUCAUCAAAUUUACAAAGCCAUGCCACUUUUUCAAUUCCAGUACAAGUAAAUACGGAUCUUCCUCAACAACUUAACAAACCUUCAUCACUCUCAACAAACUUCAUCAUUCUCGAUAAAUCAAUUACAUAAUUGAAUAUAUAAUCAUCAAUGGGAGAGCUUCUUAAAAUUAGUUUAUGCUCUUACACAAUGUAAACCUUUAAUCUAUUGAUUUUAUCAACUAAGUUCGAAAUUAAAGUGGGUUUUGUUGCAAAUAUUGUUAUUUUUCAUUCAUAAAACAAUGUGAUUUGUUAAAGUACUUAGUUUGAGUUGAGAAAUGAAGAAAAAUCAUUGAAAACACAGAAAAAUCGGGCAAAAAAUGAAGUUCAGAACAAGUGAGACAUGCAAGUGGGACAUGUGCCUACACAAUGUAAACCUUUAAUCUAUUGAUUUUAUCAACUAAAUUCGAAAUUAAAGUGGGUUUUGUUGCAAAUAUUGUUAUUUUUCAUUCAUAAAACAAUGUGAUUUGUUAAAGUACUUAGUUUGAGUUGAGAAAUGAAGAAAAAUCAUUGAAAACACAGAAAAAUCGGGCAAAAAAUGAAGUUCAGAACAAGUGAAACAUGCAAGUGGGACAGGUGCAUGUCUCACAUAAACGCACUGCAUUUAUGUGCGACAGGCACCUGUCCCACUGCUUGUCGCACAUAAACCCACGGAUUUUAUGGAAUACAUGAUUUUGGAUUUGAUUUGUCUCGUCGUAAGCUUCGGAACGGUAUAUUAUACGCCUAAAACGGACAUAUAUAGCUCAAGUUAUGGCUUUCGAGACAUAUAUGAAAUUUAGUGAGACAUGCACAUGUCCCACUUGUCUGUCUCACUAAAUUUCAUAUAUAUUUCGAAAGCCAUAACUUGAGCUAUAUAUGUCCGUUUUAGGCGUAUAAUAUACCGUUCCGAAGCUUACGACGAGACAAAUCAAAUCCAAAAUCAUGUACUCCAUAAAAUCCGUGGGUUUAUGCAACUCAAACUAAGUACUUUAACAAAUCACAUUGUUUUAUGAAUGAAAAAUAACAAUAUUUGCAACAAAACCCACUUUAAUUUCGAAUUUAGUUGAUAAAAUCAAUAGAUUAAAGGUUUACAUUGUGUAAGAGCAUAAACUAAUUUUAAGAAGCUCUCCUAUUGAUGAUUAUAUAUUCAAUUAUGCAAUUGAUUUGUCGAGAAUGAUGAAGUUUGUUGAGAGUGAUGAAGGUUUGUUAAGUUGUUGAGAAAGAUCCGUAUUUACUUGUACUGGAAUUGAAAAAGUGGCAUGGCUUUGUAAAUUUGAUGAAAGUGAUGAGGGUAAUGUAGUCCAAACAUAGGGUGUUUGGCUAGUUAUGAUAGAAAAAACUUUGAAGGACUAAAGUUGAAAAACGCAAAAGUUUUAUGGCCAUUUUUAUAAAUUUCCCAUGUCUUAAAUAGGUGUUCAUUUCAUUUGUACAGUUGUUCUCGUUACUAACUACAUGGCAUGAUAAGACAUUUGUGGGGCUCAUUAAUUUUUUUGUAAAGUUUCUUGUAAUGCUAACGCUUGAUAAGAUUGGCAAAAAUUAUUAGUUUCUUCAUUUUAUUAAUUGAGUUGAUUUAAAAAUGAGUUCUAUGGUGAAUUACUACCGUUCAAAGUUAACUAUGAUUAUAAGGGUAGUGCUUUGAUCUCCCUCAAUUAAGUAUGAUUGUUUGUAAUUUAUUUAUAAGUAUUUCUCUCUUACGAAAUACGAGUGGAGUAGAGAUAUCUCUCGUCUGUGAGAGGUAUUUGUCGGGACAUGUACUCUAUAGAAUUUAAUAUAAUAAUGUAAGUCUCAGUUAUAUAUCUGAUUGUAAAUAUCAGUGUAAUGAUCUGCUGUUAUAGCAAUUGUAAAUAUCUAUAUAAUACAAUAAUCUGAUAUAUAAUCAAUAUUAAAAAAAAUGAGUUCAGAUAAUGAGAAAAUCAUGAUAUGUGAUAAGAUUCCUUUUAGACAAAAAAAAAAAAAAAAAUCAUGUGUAAUGAGAUACAUAUGGGACCAUCACUAAAUUUUUGGGGAAAAAAAUAAAAACAUUAACCAAAAUGUUAGGCAUCCACUUUUAGAAGAUUUUUUAUAUUAAGUUAACAUCUAUUUUUAGAAGAUCUUUUAAUAUUAAGUGUUAUAUUCAAAAGAGAUUUUUGGAGAAAAAAAUAAAAACAACAUUAACCAAAACGUUAGGCAUCCACUUUUAGAAGAUUUUUUAUAUUAAGUUAACAUCUAUUUUUAGAAGAUCUUUUAAUAUUAAGUGUUAUAUCCAAAAGAGAUUCGACAAAGACUGAUAUAAAGAUAAAUAUCUAAAAUAUCGCAUUAAUCAUACAAUAAGUUAAUCACAUUUUUUCAAGAGUGCGGUUGUUUUGAAAAAUAACCAAAUAAAUUAAUAGUUAAUUAUAUUAAACAAAAUAUAAACAUCACAUUUUCACUUAUUAAAUAUAUUACCUUUUAUGUACAAAAGAUUUUCAAAAAAGGCCAGCAGAGGCGGACCUAUAUUCAUUGGUUUGAAGGCAACUGCACAUAAAAAGUCAAUUUCCAUUAGUUUCCUAUUAAUUUUUGAAAAUAUUAUCUUUGAAUGGGGGCAAAUUUAUAAAUAAAUUUCCCAUUAGGGUGUCAAUUUUAUAAAUUAUUAUUAUUAUUAUUAUGAUAUUGCUCCCUAUGAAUCGGCUUCCUAAAUCUGCUUUUGCCAAAGAGACGAAGGAAUUAAUCUAAAAAUUUUUCCAUGGUAUAGAUAUUUGAAGGUCUAAAUAAAUGUUCAUUAAUUGUACAAUUUAUUUCACCUGAUACAAUUUUUUCAAUGCUAAUUCAUAUGAUAAGCCAUUUAUGGGACUUGCAUAAACAUUUUUUCUAUUUCUAACAUUUGUGAUAAAGAUAUCUUGGAAAAAGAAAACAUGUAUGAUAGCAAUAUGACAUGAGAUUUUUUAAAAAUUAGUACAAUUUAUAUUAGCACUUGAUCCUUGAAUGUUUAAUAAUAAUAAUAAUAAUUUUCCCUCGAGAAGUCUAACAACUGUAAAAGUAAAAAUAGAGAUGUUUUGGGUAAUUUUUUAAAACACAAAAACUAAUUAUUACUAUUACAGACUAGCAAAGACUACACUCUUAUUAUGGUAAGACAUUUGUAGGACCAAUUAAAUAUUUUGCUCCUCAAUGCUAACUAGUAUGAUAAGACAUUGUAAGACCUAUUAAUUUUAUUAAUGCCAGUACACUUUCUUAUGACGCUAAAAUGUGUGACAAGAUAGUAAGAUGGCAAAUGCUAAGUUACAAUAAUUGUAACAUACAUCUCUCAUGUGAACCACACAAAUUGUGGGUCCUACAAUUUUGUGUGGUUCACAUGAAGAAUGUAUGUUACAAUUAUUGUAACUUAGAGGCUCCCAGUAAGAUACCUUUUCAGAAAAAAGAAAGAAAAAGAAAAAAGUCAGAGGAUGUUUAAUAAGAUAAACAUGGGACAAUUACAAAUUUUGAAAAAAAAAAAAUGAAAACAACAUUAAUCGAAAUUUUAGGCAUAUAUUUCUAAAAGAUCUUUAAACAAAUGUUACAUUUAGAAGAUCAGAUUCAAAAGAGAUUGAUUUAAAGAGAAAUAUGGGUGUAAUUGUGUUAGUCAUAAAACAAUUUAAUAACAUUUUCUUUAGUCAUAUGACAACAACUAAUGAUAUUUUUUCAAUAGUGCUUUCUUUUUGAAAAAUUAUCAAGUAAAUGGAGAGUUAAUUAUAUUAAACAAAAUAUACAUGUCAUAUUUUCACUUAUUAAAUGUAUUGCUUUUUAUUAUAACAGAAAUUGGAAAAAGGCAACGAAACUAAGGAAUUAAUUUAAAAUUUUCUGUGGUAGAAUUUGAAGGUCUAAGUAAGUGUUCAUUAAAUUGUACAUUGUAUUUCGUUAAUAUAAUUUUUUUUUCAAUGAUAACUAUUAUGAUAAGACAUUUUAUAGACCCGUAUUAAACGUUUUUUUUUCGAUGCUAACAUGUGUGAUAAGAUACGUUUAAAGAAAAAAAAAUUGUGUGUGACAAGACAUACAUGAGAUCAUUACUAAAUCCGGGGGAAAAAAAACAAACUUAGGCAUCCAUUUCUAGAAGAUUUAAAUCAAGUGUUACAUUCACGGGCGAUUCGAAGGAGAUUGAUUUAAAAGAGAAAUAUUGGAAGUAUUGCGUUAGUCAUAUACACAUUUAAUCAUAUUUUUUUAAGAGUGUGCUUGUUUUGAAAAAUUGUCAUAAAUACACAUUUGUUUUGAAAAAUUAUCGUAAAUGCACAAAUGGCACAAGAUAUUUAAAGAUUAGCACGGUAUAAAUUAACACGGAAUUCAAAUUUAUUUUCAAUUUCAGUAAUCUUUCUUUUUCAAUGACUAGAACUGAAUGCUUAAAUGAUUUGUGUACUUACUCUUUUUACAAGGUUGUGAUUAGUGGUUGUUAGAUAAUAAUAUAUAUGAGAUUAAAUUUUAUUCAUGUAUUACUAUAAAUAUACACAUGACAUAAGAUCUUUAAAAAAUCAGCAUAAUACAGAUUCAAAUUUAUUUUCAAUUAUUGCAUGUUUAACUUGUUGGAAGUUUAAGUUAUACAAGACAAAAAAAAAGUAUUUUUUUUCCUUGAAAAGUCUAACAAAUUUAGAAGUAAAGAUAGUGUUGUUUUGGGUGAUUUAAAAAAAAUAUAAAAAUGAAUUGUAUAAUUAACCACGACUCUACAGGCUAACGAAGGAUAUACCCCUAUUAUUAUUACACCUUAUACAAUUUUUUUCAAUUAUAAUACGAAUGAUAUACCCCUAUUAUAUAUAUUUUAGUGGCUUAAAAUACAUCAACUAAUUAAUAUAGGAAGGAAGGUUUCUUCAUCUUCCCUCACCAAUGCCACUAGGAUCUAAUUUUAAUGCCAUAAUCUCAUAUUUAAUUAUGCAACAUUUUGUUUAAUGUCUUUUGACUUCUUCAAACUCUAUAAACAUUAAGUAUUUAAGAUUUGUUAUGUUUGGGUUUUUUUUUAAGUAUUUAACCAGCAUCCUCUUUAGAAAUAUUAUUGUGUUUUUAUUUUUUGACUUAUUUGAAUUUUUAGUAUUGUAUGCCUCAUGGAAUACUCUUUUCUUCAUGAGUUGAACAAUGAUAAAGAUAGUUGAAUGAUAAAUGUUAGGUUUUGUAGGAUGUGGGAGUUUGUUAAUACCAAGAAGAAUGGAGAAUUGAUUAGUGCGAACAAAAUUUUUAUUGAUGAAAAUGUUUUAUAAAAAAUUCUUCUCCCAUUGUUUCUCUAAUUUUUUUCUCAAUUGUUUUACACUUAAUGUAGCUUUUUUUUUUCAAUAGGAAAAUCUAAUGCAUGCAACAGUCAGAAAAAAUUUAGUGACAAAGUUUAGGCACAUGUUGAGUGAAGGUUCUUUGUACAGUGUCAAGAAUUUGAAAAUUGUUUCAACUAUAGACGAGUACGAACCACUUUCAAAUCAGUAUAAGAUUAUUUUCUUGAUUAUAACUUCACUUAAGAGGUUAGAAGAAGGAACUGUUAAGAUUCCGAUCAAUGGAUUCUAAUUCAUAUCUUCAAAUUUGAUUGAUAUACGCCUCUCAUGUAUUUUUUUUAAUUAUUAAUAUUUGUUAAUCUUUAAGUGUAUAUUAGAGACUAUUGAUCCUUAUAUUUUAACAUGUUUAUGUUAUUUUUCUGUAAUAUUACAGAUGAUGUCGGAAGUUUAUGUGGUGUGGGUGAUAUUGAGAUCGUUGGAGCUGGUUGGAAAAAAAGAGAUAUAAAAGUUCUAAUAGAUUAGUAAGUUGAAUAUAAUUUAGAACUUAUCAACAAGACAACAACUACAAAAGGUAUAAGGUCUGUACACUUACACUAUACACAUUAAUAUAUAUUUUUAAAGUUAACAAAAAAAUAAUUAAAUUUCAUAAAUAACAUUAGUUUUAUAAGGUUGUCUUAUCUUAAAAAAAAAAACCAAUUUAUAUUUUUUUAUCAAUUUCAUCAAGUGUAAAAUAAGAAAAAAGGAUAAUACUAAAUUUUUUUUUUCAAAGCCGCGCGAAGCACGGUUCUAUUUCCUAGUUUAGAAGUAAAGUUAGUGAAGUUUUGGGUGAUUUAAAAAAAAUAUAUAAAUAAAUUGUAUAAUGAACCACGACUCUACAAGCUAACGAAGGAUAUACCCCUAUUAUUAUUACACUCGAUGCAAUUUUUUUCAAUUCUAAUACGAAUGAUAAGAUAUAUUUAUGAAACCAAUAUUACUUAACAGUAUGGAAUUAAUACAACCAAAAUGUCUACGGUGAAAUGGGGCCAAAAAUAUAAAAUUUAAUAAAAAAAUAUUAUAUUAUAUUAUUAAAUAUUUUAGGACAUAAAAAGGUGAAUGUUUAAAACUUUCUCUUUUUUUUUUUGGUUGAAAAUUUUCUCAAUCUACAAAUAUCUUACAAUAUGAUAUUUUAUUGGGACACUGAAUAUAUUCAUUAUCCAAAUGUUGACGGAAAUAAACUCCUAAUAAGAAUGGAACUCAUGCACUUAAACGUUGAUUGUCGAGGGCGUGAACUAAAGGCCAAUGACAAGAAUGUUUGAAACUUGAAAUAGGAUUUGAGUGCCUUUAACAAUUGAAACCUUUCAAUCGGGGGUAAAGGGAGAAAAAAAGACAAUUGAAAUGGCAGGCAAUAAAAAUACAAUGACGAAAAUGAUAAUUCUUUAGUGUUUCUACAACAGAAUUUAGAAAGUUUUAGGUGGGAUGUUUUUGUAAUACAAUAAGAAUAUUGGUGUAGUUUUCUGAUAUUUCAACCUAAGAAAUUUCAUCUGCACGUGGCUAUUGCCAAGCCACGUGAUAAGUGGCUCUCCGUUUCUGGCUUACUGCCUAUAUAUAUAAUAAUGUUCCCAUCCUCCAUGCAAGGGAAGUAAGGGUUACAAUUGAAAUUGCUUCCUUACGCUCUUUUCUUUUCAAUCAUUAGUAGUACCAUAAGCUCCUAGAAAAAAAAAAAAAAAAAUGUCUGAGGGCGGGGAUUUUAAUCGCCGGACAGCAAAUUACCACCCUAACAUUUGGGGGGAUCGUUUCAUCAACUACAAUGCAGAAGAUGAGGUACGUACAAUGAGUAAUUGGGAUUUUUAUUUUUUUUGUUUUUCAACAAUUUAAAAAAGAAAAAAAGAAAAAUCAAUCAACAUCGUAUGUUAAUGUCUGCAUUGUAAUUAAAAAAUAUAUACUUCAAUGCACUAAAAUAUGAACAUUGUAUUAAAAUUUAUAUUCCUAGCCUUAUGCAGACGUCCCUAAAGGGCAAUUAUUUAUAUAUAUUAUAAGCAUGUGACUAUAUGUAGUGAAUGCGGAAAUGCAGAUUUAUCAUGGGGCUCAAUCGCAAGAAAUUGAAGAACUCAAGGAAGAAGUGAGAAGGGAACUACUGGGCAGUGGUGUUGAUUCUUUAUCACGGCUGAAACUUAUUGAUGCAAUCCUGCGUCUAGGCGUGGGAUAUCAGUUUGAAAGAGAGUUAGAAGAAGCAUUACAGAAUCUCUAUGAUGCAUUUUCCAAUCAUUUUUAUAAUAUUGAAGAUAAUGAUCUUUACCACGUUGCACUUCGUUUUCGAAUUUUAAGACAACGUGGAUACAAAGUUUCAUGUGGUAAGCUUGUUCAAAUCAUGCAGCUUCUUAGACUUUUAAGAUUAUGUUUGAUAUAAUUUUUCAAAUAAAAUUUAUUUAAAUAGAAUUUUUACAAGUAAAGUUUUUGUUUAAAAAUUUUUAAUUGUUUAGUUAGCAAUGAAAAUUAUAAAAUAAUUUUUACAAGUAAAGUUUAUACUUAAAAAAUUUUAAUUAUUUAGUUGGCAAUGAAAAUUUUUAUUAAAAAUUAUAAAAUUAUUUUACCAAACAAUUUUUUAAAAGUUGUGUUAUGAAAAAAAUAAAAUAAGAUUGUCAAAUAAAUAAAAAUAUUUUAACAUUUAAAACAAACUUUUCAACAUCUACUUCCAAAAUAAUUUGACCUUUUCUUAAUGGAGACAAAAUAAUUUAUUUAACCUUUAAAAGUUCUGCUAAAAAAAACCAAACAAUAAUAAUAAUUUUUUUAUAAGAACUAAUAAAAUUAAAUAAGCACUUAUAAUCAUUAGAGAAACUAUACCAAAUAAGUUAUACACACACAACAUGUUACGCACGGCAGAUGCAUGUGCACACAUGAUGAAUUUGUAUAAUUUGUAGAACACGCGAAGUUGUGGUAUCAUAUCAGGUAAUAAUCAACUAAUAAUCAUUUCCAUUUAUUUUAUAUAUGAAUCAGAUAUAUUCAACAAGUUUAAAGAUGGCAAAGGCAAUUUCAAGGAGUCCUUGAAAAUCGAUGUGUCAGGGAUGUUGAGCUUGUACGAAGCAGCCCAUCUGGGCGUGCACGGAGAAGAUAUUCUGGACGAGGCUAUUGCUUUCACGACUGCUCACCUUCAAUCGUCCAUGGCUCCACAAGUGAUUCAUGCUCUACGGCAGCCCCUGUACAAAGGCCUGCCGAGGAUUGAGGCCAGGUUUUUUAUCUCUCUCUACCAAGAGCAUGAACCUUUGCAUAACAAAGCUUUACUGAAGCUUGCGAAGUUGGAUUUCAACCAAGUCCAGUCAUUGUACAAGAUUGAACUUAGCGAAAUCUCAAGGUCACCUCCCGAUCAUAGCCUUCAUGUUAUUAAUUAAUAAGAAUCUAUAUACACACACGCAUGCCUACACACACAUUGAGAAUACACAAGACAAGACGUAUAUGAUUAAUAUAUAUGCUAAUUAUUUAAAUAUAUAACUGCAUGCAUGCAGGUGGUGGAAGGAUUUAGACUUCGCUAGAAAGCUACCUUUCGCAAGAGACAGAGUGGUCGAGUGCUACUUUUGGAUAGUGGGGGUUUAUUUUGAGCCUCAAUAUUCACUUGCUAGAAAAUUGCUAACCAAAGUAAUCUCCAUGACAUCCAUCAUAGAUGAUAUCUAUGAUGUCUAUGGCAUACCUGAAGAGCUCGAUCUCUUUACAGCAGCAAUUGAUAGGUUUAAUUUGUUACUAUCUGGUGUUAAUCCUAUAUCAGCUGACAAUUAAUAGUCUACUUCUUGGACAAAGUAUAAGAGGAAAUUUAGAAUAUAUCAGAUGUAACACAACCAAUCAAUGCAUGUAUGACAUGUGUAAUUGAACAUAAUAUAAUCACCACUUACAUGAUGAUUUUUCAAAAUAAAUAUUCACAUGUCACAUCAUCAUUUUUUUUAUUGUAUGGCUAACGUGAUACAUCAGAUAUAUUAUAGAAUUUCUUAAAGUAUAGAAUAAUUAAUUUUAUAAAAAAGUACUCUUUUAAUCCUUAUAAUAUGAGAUAAUUGUUUAGUUAGUCCAUAUAUUUUAACAAUUUAUCCGAGAUAUCAUUGUAGUACAUCUAUUUCAAUUAAAGUUUAUUACUCUACUUAAGUAAUAAUAAUAAUUAUAAUUAUUAGAUGCAUGUCAUACUUGUUUGAAGUUUAAGUAAUAUCCAACAACUAUGGAAGAAUGACAAAGAUAUUUUAUGUAUAAUUCAUGAGUAUAAGCUGGUCUUAAUGGACUUUUUUGUAUAUUAAGGCUCAAAUUACCGAAAACAUUAAUAGAUUACAUUUAAUUGAGUUUAACAUUAUAUGACAAUUUGCAACACAUAAUUGUUUACAUAUAAACCCAACGCUGGAUUAAAGAUCCAACAUUUUUUGGUAAAUCAAAUACAUCAGUUAUGUCAUCAGUAGUAUGUGUCAAAUCAAGAAUGAGUUCCUGAUUUAGGAAAAUAACCGGGUGGCUUUUGAGUUUCAGGUGGGAUGUGAGUUGCAUCGACCAGUUGCCAGAAUACAUGCAAACAUUUUAUGUGGCAUUGUUAGAUCUUUACAAAGAAAUUGAGGAAGAGUUGGCAACGAAAGGAUGGUCAUACCGAGUCCACUAUGCAAAAGAAGAAGUAAAUCAAUAUUACUUAUAAAAGUUAAUCAAGGAUAUAAGAUUUUCCGUCAGAAUUUUGAUCACGACAGUAUUAAUUGAUCAUUUGUGACAUUGAAUCCAUGGCAGAUGAAAAUUCUAGUUCAUGGCUACCAUGAUGAAUCUAAAUGGUUCCACAACAAUUACGUUCCUACAAUGGAGGAGUACAUGCGAGUGUCCCUAGUAACCUCUGGUUACUCGAUGCUUACAGCAGCAUCUUUUCUUGGUAUGGACGGUGUAGUGACAAAGGAGGCCUUUGAUUGGGUGUCUGGUAAACCUAAGAUUAUUAGAGCCUCAACUAUAAUUGGAAGACUCAUGGAUGACAUCAAAUCACAUAAGGUACGUAUACGUUACGUACAUACAUGUGCUUAUAAAUUAUAUAUCACUUUAGAAUUUGGAUACACGUUAAUCAACACACGUGAUGUGGUUACUUGCAUGUACAGUUCGAGCAAGAAAGAGGACACGCGGCGUCGGCUAUCGAGUGCUACAUGAAGGAGAAGGAGCGCGAAGGCGUGAGUGUGACAGAGCAAGAGGUGCAUGAAGAGUUAUAUAAGAAAGUUGGCGAUGCAUGGAAGGAUAUAAAUGAAGAGUGUCUCAUGCCCACCGAGGUGCCAAGGCCUCUCCUCAUGCGAGUUCUAAACCUAUCAAGAGUAAUUGAUGUCAUCUACAAGGAGGGUGAUGGCUACACCCAUGUUGGCCAAGUGAUGAAAGAUAAUAUUGCAUCCGUGCUCAUACAUCCAGUUGCUAUUUAAGAAUAAUCUCGGGCCUGCCAGAACCCGAAUCGCACUUCAUACCCAAAUAAAAGUGUGUAAAAAAUAAGAGGCCCAGUCAAGAAUAAAACUUUAUCAUCUGUUUUUCUUUGAAGAUUGCUACUGCUAUCAUGAAUAAUCGACUAUUGAAUUUGCAGAAUUUUUGUUUUAUUAUCUAGUUUUUAUAAGCUAUCCCUUAAAAAAAUAUAUAUUGUUGCAAGCAAACCCAAAAUAUUGUUGAAUUAAAGCCAAAAUUACUAAAAUUAAACUUAAAAUUUCAGUAGCCAACAAUUAACAAAGUAGAAGGUAAAAUUUUCCAUUUUACUAUAAACACAACAUCGGCCUAACACCCUGCCUUAGCCUCGGCCCAAAGACACAAUCUGGGGCCAGCGGUGCAAGUUGGGUUUAGGCCGAGGAUGUCGUCCAGGCCCAAGUCGCAUCAACCCAACACUUCGGUACAUUUUUAUGAUUUUAUCCCUUAAAUACGGUUUUUAAAACCUGUGACUCUACAGAUUAUCAAUUGGACAAUGUUGCCCCACAAGUUUUCCUAUUCUGAAUCUAAGCUUGUUAUAGUUUCGUGUGGAAUUCAGCAAACCUCCGGAAUCGAAAUCACCUGCACUCAUCAAGUAUCAUGCGAAGCGAACAAUUUUCAUUUUCAAUCCAAACAAUAUCUUAGAUAAAUUGUAAAAUAUAAUCAUAAUUGGGGAAAAAAAAAAAAGAGUCAGAAAUCUCGUGUGGAUAGUGCCGCUCAUAGCACCAUUAAACGCAAUGGUGCUGCGUUCGCACGAUGAUAUCAUCACUCUCUUUCUCUAAAAGUGAAAUGAAGAAAAACAAAGAAGUUAAGCCACACAAAAAAUUUCGUACCCCUUGAGCUCCAUGAGAAAAUCUCUUCAGCCAAGCAAAACUAUCAUAGGAGGGCCCUUUUAUAGGGCGCUUAUCUGGUUGCCCUAAUUUACACAGCCCGAUCGUCUCGAUAGGGUCAGCGAAUGAAUGAAACGACGCCGUUAAAUAAACGGGUAACUUAAAAUAUCCUGUGUUCGCGUUUUCUUUGGGCGUGCAAACCCAAAUUGAAGCCCAAGACAUAUUUAUACUCAAUUGCUAAAAAGUCCCCGUUUCAGAAAUUAAUAUUGCAAAAGAGCCUCCAAAGUCCAACCUGGUCAAACCCAUUAACCCAGCCUGCCAACAAGUCCCAAUGUGUAAAAUAAAUUUAAUAUCCGGGUAAUCGUGUCAAUUUGGUAAAGGUAGUGGGUAGAAAAGUGCAAAUUUAAUUGUUAUUUAAACGAAUACCAAGUAGGGUUUAGCCUUCCAGCUCUAGAGCACAACGAGUCAGUCGCCGCAGCAGCUCAGGUUCCCUCUCUGCCCUCUCAAUCUAUCUUCUGCAAAUGUUUGGUUACUGAGAAUGUGAAGGAAAAGAAAAAAAAAUGAUUUUCUCGGUAACCAAAUAUCGAUUAAAAACUAUUACAAGAUAUGAUUACGUGUAUGUACAUUUGUAGUUUUCAUAUAUAUUGUUCUCAAACAACUAUGAAACUGUUAGCUUUUAAUAUUGUUCGCUGGAGUUAGCGAUCAGCGUUUGCCUGAUCUGUGGUUCUGUGUUUCGUAUGGCCAUUCAUAAUGUUUAGGCCAUUGUUAUUGCGUGAGUUGAGAUCAUUUUAUUUGGAUAAGAGAUAUUAGGAAAUUAAUAUUUUUGUUAUUGUUAUAUUUGCAGAGGAGGAGAAUGUCUCACAGGAAGUUUGAGCACCCAAGGCAUGGUUCCCUUGGAUUUCUUCCAAGGAAGCGAGCUGCUCGUCACAGAGGAAAGGGUAUGAUGUUGUUUUGUUAUGGCAUUAAGAGCUGACAAUCUUAUUCAUAGAGUUAGUUUUAUUGGAUAUGGUAAUUUGUUUGUCUUGAGUAGUUUUGUUUGCUUCGGUGCUUUUGCAGUGAAGGCUUUUCCCAAGGAUGACCCAAGCAAGCCUUGCAGGCUCACUGCCUUUUUGGGUUACAAGGCUGGGAUGACCCACAUUGUUAGGGAUGUCGAGAAACCUGGAUCUAGUAAGCUUUUGUGAAGCUUUGAUUGAGUUAUUCAUAAUUCCUAGUGACUACAAUUUGGAUGACUAUUUUGUGUUUUUAACAUUCAUUUGGAGAAAAGAGGUUUUGAAAAUUUGACAUUCCUGUACUAUUAAGAUAUAAUAUCACUAAAUGUGAUGUGCAAUGUCAUUCUUCUGGCUUAGCAAACAGAAUAGUAGCAUAUUAUUUGCAAAUUUAAUGAUUUGUGUCUGUUUGAUUGUUGUUUUUUACUAUUAAUUCAUGGUUCUAUCCUGGAUAACAAACUCUUCAGUAUUUCUUUGCAAAUAUUUUGGUUUCAAAAAAUUAAUUCGUUGAUGUAAUUUUUUUUUCCUUUUCGGUAGUGUUAUAUUUAGAUUGUGCAAUGUUUUGUAUCCAAUUCGACUGCAAUUUUGGAGUUCUUAUAGGACUUUAUUAUCCAUGAUCUUGUAAUAUUAGGUGAAGAAUGUUUUUUUUUUGUUGAAAAUUCUUAUCUUAACAAUAUUUGCUUCUUUUCACCUUUAGAGCUUCACAAGAAGGAGACCUGUGAGGCUGUUACCAUUAUUGAAACCCCUCCAAUGAUGGUGGUUGGAGUUGUGGGAUAUGUGAAGACACCUCGUGGUCUUCGCUCUUUGAACACUGUAUGGGCUCAGCAUCUUAGUGAGGAGGUGAGAAGAAGGUUCUACAAGAACUGGUGCAAAUCCAAGAAGAAGGCUUUCACAAAAUACUCAAAGCAGUAUGAAACAGAUGAAGGGAAGAAAAGU